This 301-nucleotide ribosomal RNA is filed under the name uncultured bacterium. RNAcentral describes it as "partial 16S ribosomal RNA". It matches the Rfam family "Bacterial small subunit ribosomal RNA", at positions 509 to 807 of the family's 1533-position model. The record is from RNAcentral.
CAGUCGCCACGGUAAUACAGAGGGUGCGAGCGUUAAUCGGAUUUACUGGGCGUAAAGCGCGCGUAGGCGGUUACUCAAGUCAGAGGUGAAAGCCCGGGGCUCAACCCCGGAACUGCCUUUGAAACUAGGUGACUAGAAUCUUGGAGAGGUCAGUGGAAUUCCGAGUGUAGAGGUGAAAUUCGUAGAUAUUCGGAAGAACACCAGUGGCGAAGGCGACUGACUGGACAAGUAUUGACGCUGAGGUGCGAAAGCGUGGGGAGCAAACAGGAUUAGAUACCCGCGUAGUCCCUGUCUCUUAUAC